This 259-nucleotide long non-coding RNA is filed under the name Physcomitrium patens. Its description in RNAcentral is "long non-coding RNA (PPAT_LNC009165)". Lineage: Eukaryota; Viridiplantae; Streptophyta; Bryopsida; Funariales; Funariaceae. The record is from RNAcentral.
CGAAAAACAAAUAUACUAACUUGUGCAAAAACUUUGUCGGUUUUUCAUCUUAUGUAUGUUGUUUCAGUGAUUCAGUUCGCGGCUCAUAGUGAGGGUGACAUUUGUGUUUGAGAGGAGAUUUUGUGUGUGUGUCUGUGUGUGUGAUGAUUAUAUGGAAUUCACUCUCAGAAGGCAUACUUCAGCUUGUGACUCGACCUUGUGAACGAAUCCUUCACUGCUAAAGGUGUUUUGUUGAAGAAGACAAUGAUCAAAUCAUGGG